UACGUAGGGUGCAAGCGUUGUCCGGAAUUAUUGGGCGUAAAGAGCUCGUAGGCGGCCAACUAAGUCAGACGUGAAAUCCCUCGGCUUAACCGGGGAACUGCGUCUGAUACUGGAUGGCUUGAGUUUGGGAGAGGGAUGCGGAAUUCCAGGUGUAGCGGUGAAAUGCGUAGAUAUCUGGAGGAACACCGGUGGCGAAGGCGGCAUCCUGGACCGGCAUUGACGCUGAGGAGCGAAAGCCAGGGGAGCAAACGGG
Molecule: ribosomal RNA, 253 nt
Filed under: uncultured bacterium
Lineage: Bacteria
Description: partial 16S ribosomal RNA
Rfam family: Bacterial small subunit ribosomal RNA
Source: RNAcentral